RNAcentral lists this long non-coding RNA (222 nucleotides) under Ananas comosus (pineapple). RNAcentral's name for it is "long non-coding RNA (ACOM_LNC029277)". The record is from RNAcentral. Lineage: Eukaryota; Viridiplantae; Streptophyta; Magnoliopsida; Poales; Bromeliaceae.
AAAUCUGAAUACAAGGUGGUCUUUCUAUACAUAGUGCCAAAACUCUCUCUCUCCCUAACACAAACAAAAGAAGGAGUAACCACCUAUUGCAAAACGGACUCUCUCCCGAGCUAGCUACGCGACACCCUUGCCGCGAUCCCGUGCCUCCGCCGGUGCCGAAGGCUCUGAAAAGAAAACAUAGAAACAGGGGCGUGAGAACUAUUAAAUAAUAGUUCCCAGUGG